AGCAGCCGCGGUAAUUCCAGCUCCAAUAGCGUAUAUUAAAGUUGUUGCAGUUAAAAAGCUCGUAGUUGAAUUUCGGGGUCAGUAGGUUGGUCAUGCCACUGGUAUGUACUGAUCUUACUGAUUCCUCCUUCCUGAUGAACCGUAAUGCCAUUAAUUUGGUGUUGCGGGGAGACUGGACUGUUACUUUGAAAAAAUUAGAGUGUUUAAAGCAGGCUAACGCUUGAAUGCAUUAGCAUGGAAUAAUGAAAUAGGACGUUCGAUCCUAUUUUGUUGGUUUCUAGGAUUGACGUAAUGAUUAAUAGGGAUAGUUGGGGGCAUUAGUAUUCAAUUGUCAGAGGUGAAAUUCUUGGAUUUAUUGAAGACUAACUACUGCGAAAGCAUUUGCCAAGGAUGUUUUCAUUAAUCAAGAACGAAAGUUAGGGGAUCGAAGACGAUCAGAUACCGUCGUAGUCUUAACCAUAAACUAUGCCGACUAGGGAUCGGAUGAUGUUAAUUUUUUAAUGACUCAUUCGGCGCCUUACG
This 522-nucleotide ribosomal RNA is filed under the name uncultured Glomus. RNAcentral's name for it is "SSU rRNA". It matches the Rfam family "Eukaryotic small subunit ribosomal RNA", at positions 569 to 1092 of the family's 1831-position model. The record is from RNAcentral. Lineage: Eukaryota; Fungi; Glomeromycota; Glomeromycetes; Glomerales; Glomeraceae.